GGGCUCACACAAGCGGUGGAGCAUGUGGCUUAAUUCGAAGCAACGCGAAGAACCUUACCCGGGUUUGACAUGCUUGGAUGCCCUCUGGGGAUAACUCAGAUGGGCUGCCCUUCGGGGUGAAACUUGCACAGGUGUUGCAUGGCUGUCGUCAGCUCGUGCUGUGAAGUGUCGGGUUAAGUCCCUUAACGAGCGAAACCCCUGUCGCUAGUUGCCAGCGCGUUAUGGCGGGGACUCUAGCGAGACUGCCGGCGUUAAGCCGGGGGAAGGUGGGGACGACGUCAAGUCAUCAUGGCCUUUAUGCCCGGGGAUGCACACGUGCUACAAUGGCGUGCACAGAGCGAUGCGAGACCGCGAGGUGGAGCAAAUCGCAAAAAACACGCCCCAGUUCGGAUUGGAGUCUGCAAUUCGACUCCAUGAAGUUGGAAUCGCUAGUAAUCGCGCAUCAGCCACGGCGCGGUGAAUGUGUUCCUGAGCCUU
This 477-nucleotide ribosomal RNA is filed under the name uncultured bacterium. Its description in RNAcentral is "bacterial SSU rRNA". It matches the Rfam family "Bacterial small subunit ribosomal RNA", at positions 917 to 1382 of the family's 1533-position model. The record is from RNAcentral.